RNAcentral lists this ribosomal RNA (465 nucleotides) under uncultured bacterium. RNAcentral describes it as "partial 16S ribosomal RNA". It matches the Rfam family "Bacterial small subunit ribosomal RNA", at positions 28 to 507 of the family's 1533-position model. The record is from RNAcentral.
GACGAACGCUGGCGGCGUGCUUAACACAUGCAAGUCGAACGGAAAGGCCCUGCUUGCAGGGUACUCGAGUGGCGAACGGGUGAGUAACACGUGGGUGAUCUGCCCUGCACUUCGGGAUAAGCCUGGGAAACUGGGUCUAAUACCGGAUAGGAGCCAUUUUUAGUGUGAUGGUUGGAAAGUUUUUUCGGUGUAGGAUGAGCUCGCGGCCUAUCAGCUUGUUGGUGGGGUAAUGGCCUACCAAGGCGGCGACGGGUAGCCGGCCUGAGAGGGUGGACGGCCACAUUGGGACUGGGAUACGGCCCAGACUCCUACGGGAGGCAGCAGUGGGGAAUAGUGCACAAUGGGCGCAAGCCUGAUGCAGCGACGCCGCGUGGGGGAUGACGGCCUUCGGGUUGUAAACUCCUUUCGCUAGGGACGAAGCUUUUUGUGACGGUACCUAGAUAAGAAGCACCGGCUAACUACGUG